GGAAGUAAAAGUCGUAACAAGGUCUCCGUUGGUGAACCAGCGGAGGGAUCAUUACCGAGUUAUACAACUCAUCAACCCUGUGAACAUACCUAAAACGUUGCUUCGGCGGGAACAGACGGCCCUGUAACAACGGGCCGCCCCCGCCAGAGGACCCCUAACUCUGUUUUUAUAAUGUUUUUCUGAGUAAACGAGCAAAUAAAUUAAAACUUUCAACAACGGAUCUCUUGGCUCUGGCAUCGAUGAAGAACGCAGCGAAAUGCGAUAAGUAAUGUGAAUUGCAGAAUUCAGUGAAUCAUCGAAUCUUUGAACGCACAUUGCGCCCGCCAGUAUUCUGGCGGGCAUGCCUGUUCGAGCGUCAUUACAACCCUCAGGCCCCCGGGCCUGGCGUUGGGGAUCGGCGGAAGCCCCCUGUGGGCACACGCCGUCCCUCAAAUACAGUGGCGGUCCCGCCGCAGCUUCCAUUGCGUAGUAGCUAACACCUCGCAACUGGAGAGCGGCGCGGCCAUGCCGUAAAACACCCAACUUCUGAAUGUUGACCUCGAAUCAGGUAGGAAUACCCGCUGAACUUAAGCAUAUCAAUAAGCGGAGG
This 589-nucleotide ribosomal RNA is filed under the name uncultured fungus. Its description in RNAcentral is "eukaryotic LSU rRNA". The stretch from base 205 to 358 matches the Rfam family "5.8S ribosomal RNA". Lineage: Eukaryota; Fungi. The record is from RNAcentral.